AAUUCAUAACAUAUGCACAACUGGCUAACGGAAGAGUUCUUUAAUGAUAAAUGAAAAUAACAUUACUGGGAUGGAGAGUUGUCUCAUUGGCACUCAUACCACAUCUUCUUAUAUCAUUUCACCUGUAAUUUACCUGUUAUUUACCUGUAAAAAAAAUCGGCGCAAAUGAAAAAAAAAAUCGGCGCAAAUGAAAGAAAAAAUCGGCGCAAAUGAAAUGCAGAUCGGCGCAAAUGCAAAACGCCGGGUA
Molecule: long non-coding RNA, 247 nt
Filed under: Mytilus galloprovincialis (Mediterranean mussel)
Lineage: Eukaryota; Metazoa; Mollusca; Bivalvia; Mytilida; Mytilidae
Source: RNAcentral